This 433-nucleotide ribosomal RNA is filed under the name Ramularia sp. Albano. RNAcentral describes it as "eukaryotic LSU rRNA". It matches the Rfam family "Eukaryotic large subunit ribosomal RNA", at positions 135 to 576 of the family's 3401-position model. Lineage: Eukaryota; Fungi; Ascomycota; Dothideomycetes; Mycosphaerellales; Mycosphaerellaceae. The record is from RNAcentral.
AGCCCGAGUUGUAAUUUGUAGAGGAUGCUUCUAGGUAGCGACCGGUCUAAGUUCCUUGGAACAGGACGUCAUAGAGGGUGAGAAUCCCGUAUGUGACUGGCCCGCACCUUCUACGUAGCUCCUUCGACGAGUCGAGUUGUUUGGGAAUGCAGCUCUAAAUGGGAGGUAAAUUUCUUCUAAAGCUAAAUACCGGCCAGAGACCGAUAGCGCACAAGUAGAGUGAUCGAAAGAUGAAAAGCACUUUGGAAAGAGAGUUAAAAAGCACGUGAAAUUGUUGAAAGGGAAGCGCUCACAACCAGACUUCUGGGCGGUGUUCCGCCGGUCUUCUGACCGGUCUACUCACCGUCCCGAGGCCAACAUCAUCUGGGACCGCCGGAUAAGACCUCAGGAAUGUAGCUCCCCUCGGGGAGUGUUAUAGCCUGUGGUGAUGCGG